RNAcentral lists this ribosomal RNA (425 nucleotides) under uncultured bacterium. RNAcentral describes it as "bacterial SSU rRNA". It matches the Rfam family "Bacterial small subunit ribosomal RNA", at positions 28 to 459 of the family's 1533-position model. The record is from RNAcentral.
AACGAACGCUGGCGGCAUGCCUAACACAUGCAAGUCGAACGGGAUCCGAGCUUCGGUUCGGUGAGAGUGGCGGACGGGUGAGUAACGCGUGGGAACCUGCCCAGUGGUGGGGGAUAACUGCGGGAAACUGCAGCUAAUACCGCAUGAGCCCGAGAGGGGAAAGAUUUAUCGCCAUUGGAGGGGCCCGCGUUCGAUUAGGUAGUUGGUGAGGUAACGGCUCACCAAGCCUUCGAUCGAUAGCUGGUCUGAGAGGAUGAUCAGCCACACUGGGACUGAGAUACGGCCCAGACUCCUACGGGAGGCAGCAGUGGGGGAAUAUUGGACAAUGGGGGGCAACCCUGAUCCAGCAAUGCCGCGUGAGUGAUGAAGGGCCUUCGGGUUGGUUAAAGGUACGUACUUUUGUUCCGGGGUACCGGACGUGGAUG